This 364-nucleotide ribosomal RNA is filed under the name Triticum aestivum (bread wheat). RNAcentral describes it as "partial small subunit ribosomal RNA". The record is from RNAcentral. Lineage: Eukaryota; Viridiplantae; Streptophyta; Magnoliopsida; Poales; Poaceae.
CCAAAAUUGAAGCCAUCAUAUUCAGCGCCUCCACCUUCUCUUCCAUUCCCGUAGCAACCCCUGCCCUCUUCCUUUCCCCUGUCUCCAAGGAAACUCCAUGAACUUUGAAGCUCCAUGGACACCGAUGCUCGAUCCCGAGAACUCGUACCAUCUCUAUCCGAAUCCUUGUGCCAUAAAAUCCUCCUCCAUGCCACGAUUCCAUUCAGGGAAGAAGAAACACGAUCCGUCAACCACACACGAAGAAUUCUGCAUGUCCGCGGACACUGUUCAUCAAGUUCGUCGCACCGUUCCAUCAAACUCGGGAGUGACAAUGAUGUUGGACAUGGAUAGAAACAGGUUACUGAAGAUGGACUCAACAAUGAAG